UACGAAGGGGGGCUAGCGUUUGUUCGGGAAUUACUGGGCGUAAAGCGCACGUAGGCGGAUGUUUAAGUUAGGGGUGAAAUCCCAGGGCUCAACCCUGGAACUGCCUCUAAUACUGGGCAUCUAGAGUCCGAGAGAGGUGAGUGGAAUUCCGAGUGUAGAGGUGAAAUUCGUAGAUAUUCGGAGGAACACCAGUGGCGAAGGCGGCUCACUGGUCCAUUACUGACGCUGAGGUGCGAAAAGCGUGGGGAGCAAACAGG
This 257-nucleotide ribosomal RNA is filed under the name uncultured bacterium. RNAcentral's name for it is "partial 16S ribosomal RNA". It matches the Rfam family "Bacterial small subunit ribosomal RNA", at positions 524 to 776 of the family's 1533-position model. The record is from RNAcentral.